Molecule: ribosomal RNA, 279 nt
Filed under: uncultured bacterium
Lineage: Bacteria
Description: partial 16S ribosomal RNA
Rfam family: Bacterial small subunit ribosomal RNA
Source: RNAcentral
UGCCAGCCGCCGCGGUAAUACGUAGGGGGCAAGCGUUGUCCGGAUUCACUGGGCGUAAAGCGCGCGCAGGCGGUGAUGUAAGUCUGAGGUGAAAACCCGAAGCUCAACUUCGGGACUGCCUUGGAUACUGCGUCACUUGAGGAUAGGAGAGGCAAGGGGAAUUCCACGUGUAGCGGUGAAAUGCGUAGAGAUGUGGAGGAACACCUGUGGCGAAGGCGCCUUGCUGGCCUAUUUCUGACGCUGAGGCGCGAAAGCGUGGGGAGCAAACAGGAUUAGAUA